Molecule: ribosomal RNA, 207 nt
Filed under: uncultured bacterium
Lineage: Bacteria
Description: partial 16S ribosomal RNA
Rfam family: Bacterial small subunit ribosomal RNA
Source: RNAcentral
CACGUAGGCGGUAGGACAAGUUAGAUGUGAAAUCCCAGGGCUUAACCUUGGAACUGCAUCUAAAACUGUUUUACUAGAGUUCACUAGAGGGAAGUGGAAUUUCCGGUGUAGCGGUGAAAUGCGUAGAUAUCGGAAGGAACAUCAGUGGCGAAGGCGACUUUCUGGAGUUGAACUGACGCUAAGGUGCGAGAGCGUGGGGAGCAAACA